GUAGGUGGCAAGCGUUGUCUGGAAUUAUUGGGCGUAAAGCGCGCGCAGGCGGUUCUUUAAGUCUGAUGUGAAAGCCCACGGCUCAACCGUGGAGGGUCAUUGGAAACUGGAGAACUUGAGUACAGAAGAGGAAAGCGGAAUUCCACGUGUAGCGGUGAAAUGCGUAGAGAUGUGGAGGAACACCAGUGGCGAAGGCGGCUUUCUGGUCUGUAACUGACGCUGAGGCGCGAAAGCGUGGGGGAGCAAGCAGGAUUAGAUACCCUGGUAGUCCACGCCGUAAACGAUGAGUGCUAAGUGUUAGGGGGUUUCCGCCCCCCCCUUAGUGCUGCAGCUAACGCAUUAAGCACUCCCGCCUGGGGAGUACGGCCGCAAGGCUG
RNAcentral lists this ribosomal RNA (377 nucleotides) under uncultured organism. RNAcentral describes it as "partial 16S ribosomal RNA". It matches the Rfam family "Bacterial small subunit ribosomal RNA", at positions 527 to 896 of the family's 1533-position model. The record is from RNAcentral.